RNAcentral lists this ribosomal RNA (1299 nucleotides) under metagenome. Its description in RNAcentral is "bacterial LSU rRNA". It matches the Rfam family "Bacterial large subunit ribosomal RNA", at positions 1633 to 2925 of the family's 2925-position model. The record is from RNAcentral.
CCUACACGACCGUACCGCAAACCGACACUGGUGCGCGAGAUGAGUAUUCUAAGGCGCUUGAGAGAACUCAGGAGAAGGAACUCGGCAAAUUGACACCGUAACUUCGGAAGAAGGUGUGCCUUUAGUAGGUGAACCUGUACAAGGGGAGCCCAAUGAGGUUGCAAAAAAUCGGUGGCUGCGACUGUUUAAUAAAAACACAGCACUCUGCAAACACGAAAGUGGACGUAUAGGGUGUGACGCCUGCCCGGUGCUGGAAGAUUAAAUGAUGGGGUGCAAGCUCUUGAUUGAAGUCCCAGUAAACGGCGGCCGUAACUAUAACGGUCCUAAGGUAGCGAAAUUCCUUGUCGGGUAAGUUCCGACCUGCACGAAUGGCGUAACGAUGGCCACACUGUCUCCUCCUGAGGCUCAGCGAAGUUGAAAUGUUUGUGAUGAUGCAAUCUCCCCGCGGAAAGACGGAAAGACCCCAUGAACCUUUACUGUAGCUUUGUAUUGGACUUUGAACAGAUCUGUGUAGGAUAGGUGGGAGGCUUUGAAGUGUGGUCGCUAGAUCGCAUGGAGCCAACGUUGAAAUACCACCCUGGUGUGUUUGAGGUUCUAACCUAGGCCCGUAAUCCGGGUCGGGGACAGUGCAUGGUAGGCAGUUUGACUGGGGCGGUCUCCUCCCAAAGCGUAACGGAGGAGUUCGAAGGUACGCUAGGUACGGUCGGACAUCGUGCUAAUAGUGCAAUGGCAUAAGCGUGCUUAACUGCGAGACUGACAAGUCGAGCAGAUGCGAAAGCAGGACAUAGUGAUCCGGUGGUUCUGUAUGGAAGGGCCAUCGCUCAACGGAUAAAAGGUACUCUGGGAUAACAGGCUGAUACCGCCCAAGAGUUCCUAUCGACGGCGGUGUUUGGCACCUCGAUGUCGGCUCAUCUCAUCCUGGGGCUGUGGCCGGUCCCAAGGGUAUGCUGUUCGCCAUUUAAAGAGGUACGUGAGCUGGGUUUAAAACGUCGUGAGACAGUUUGGUCCCUAUCUUCCGUGGGCGCUGCAGAUUUGAGGAAGCCUGCUCCUAGUACGAGAGGACCGGAGUGGACACACCUCUGGUGUAUCGGUUGUCACGCCAGUGGCAUUGCCGAGUAGCUAUGUGUGGAAGAGAUAACCGCUGAAAGCAUCUAAGCGGGAAACUCGUUUCAAGAUGAGAUCUGCCGGGGCCUUGAGCCCCCUAAAGAGUCGUUCAAGACCAGGACGUUGAUAGGUCGGGUGUGGAAGCGCAGUAAUGCGUUAAGCUAACCGAUACUAAUUGCUCGUGCGGCUUGACCC